CUAACGUGGUGUAGGGGGUGCACUUAGAGUUUUGAUCUCUAAAGGGUAGGUUCGAGUCCUAUUUUUUUAGGAU
Molecule: transfer RNA, 73 nt
Filed under: Pseudoeurycea longicauda (longtail false brook salamander)
Lineage: Eukaryota; Metazoa; Chordata; Amphibia; Caudata; Plethodontidae
Description: partial tRNA-Gln
Source: RNAcentral